GAGGGGGUGCAAACGUUAUUCGGAUUUACUGGGUGUAAAGGGUGUGUAGACGGGUUGUUAAGUUCGUUGUUAAAUCUUCCGGGCCUAACCGGGAAGCUCGCGAUGGAAACUGGCAAUCUUGAGGAUGGAAGAGAGAAGUGGAAUUCUCGGAGUAGCGGUAAAAUGCGUAGAUCUCGAGAGGAACACCGAUGGCGAAGGCAGCUUCUUGGUCCAUUCCUGACGUUGAGACACGAAAGCGUGGGGAGCAAACAGGAUUAGAUACCCUGGUAGUCCACGCUGUAAACGAUGAUCACUAGAUGUUGGCCCUGUUUUGCAGGGUUAGUAUCGAAGCUAACGCGUUAAGUGAUCCACCUGGGAACUACGAUCGCAAGAUUA
This 375-nucleotide ribosomal RNA is filed under the name uncultured organism. RNAcentral describes it as "partial 16S ribosomal RNA". It matches the Rfam family "Bacterial small subunit ribosomal RNA", at positions 526 to 896 of the family's 1533-position model. The record is from RNAcentral.